GCAGUGGUGAUGCAAACACAAACUCAGUCUCAUACUUCGCUGAGGCAAUAGCCGUUGCGGAGAAACCUUUCUCUCUGAGCUGC
Molecule: small nucleolar RNA, 83 nt
Filed under: Chlamydomonas reinhardtii
Lineage: Eukaryota; Viridiplantae; Chlorophyta; Chlorophyceae; Chlamydomonadales; Chlamydomonadaceae
Description: CrCD06e snoRNA
Source: RNAcentral